AUCUCUGCUGGUCCUGACAAUUGAGCGUCUUCAGGAGAAAGUGAAAAGUGUCCGCCUAAAGGUUGCAGACCUGAAAGAAAAGGUGACUGCUAAGGAGGGAACAGAAGUAACAAAGAACAUCCUGGCCGAACACGCUGAUCUCUUGUUGCGACAUAGAGAAAAGCUAGUAGAGAGGAAGCAGCGUAAGUUCGAGCGUGACGCCAAGGACUUCAGAGAAAACCGCGUUUACACGUGGCGAGAGGAGCGGAGAAGGCAGCGGUUCUAUCAAGACGGGGAAGAGCCCGUGAGUCAGACCGACCUGCCGGCCCCUUACCCAGACAGAGUUCAGCCGGUAUAUCGAUACGGCGCAAGGAACACCAACAGAAGGAGGGGGCGCGAAUAUACGACUUACCAGCCACGCUACACUAGGGAGCGGUCGUCAGACAGCAGCAGGAGCAGCACCUCUACGCCUUCCACCAGCAGCACGAGUAACCCCUGUGGCAAUUACAGCGUGCCUUUUUUAGGAGGAACACACGAGCAGCAACAAAGAAGAAAUCCAAGGGAACCAAUUCAAAGGGAGCAGUAUCCGAGCAGGAAGAGGAGAUAAAGAGAUAUGCGGCUGCCCUUAGAUACAGAGUAGAAUAGAAACAAGAAUCUACAGUUACAGCACUACAGAGUGGUAAGAGAAACUGGGCAAUGUCGCUAUAAGGGCAGGUAAAUUAAAUGAAAAGCAAAAUAGUAAAUAUGAUGUAUUUGUGCUUAUCGUGUGCUCUAUUUACAGUAUAUAAAAUGAAUGAUCACUUAAGUGAAUACUUGAAGCAAUUUUGGACUCUUUAUUGUAGGCUUCAUUGCAGUACAAAGGGGUAAAGUGUAAUAACCUGGAUUUUAACUUGGACACUUUAAUAUGGACUUUUAAUAAUGGACACUUGGCACAAAUGGAGGGGACACCAAUUUGACACAAAAAGGAUUGGACUGAUGGAGGUUAGGCGAAUAAACCCCCGAAGCAGUAACCUCUGAUGACCUUGUCUUUUAAUUACUUUUAACCACUUUUUAACCAUUGGGUGAAGUUAAUCUGUCUACCAAUGAUGGUGGAGGGGAGGAGUCUAAUGUAUUUAAAGUUUUUGUACGAUGUGCACCUGUGAACACUUGACAAAGAGCCACAAUGCUCGAAACAUGUUGUGUUUAAUAAACCUUGCAGCAAA
Molecule: long non-coding RNA, 1181 nt
Organism: Xenopus laevis (African clawed frog)
Lineage: Eukaryota; Metazoa; Chordata; Amphibia; Anura; Pipidae
Exons: 2
Source: RefSeq, a predicted model, not a curated record